RNAcentral lists this ribosomal RNA (546 nucleotides) under Nitrosomonas sp. RNAcentral describes it as "partial 23S ribosomal RNA". It matches the Rfam family "Bacterial large subunit ribosomal RNA", at positions 1 to 547 of the family's 2925-position model. The record is from RNAcentral. Lineage: Bacteria; Pseudomonadati; Pseudomonadota; Betaproteobacteria; Nitrosomonadales; Nitrosomonadaceae.
GAUCAAGUGAAUAAGUGCAUGUGGUGGAUGCCUUGGCGAUUACAGGCGAUGAAGGACGUGGAAGCCUGCGAAAAGCUUCGGGGAGCUGGCAAACAAGCUUUGAUCCGGAGAUAUCCGAAUGGGGAAACCUGACUCUUGCUUAAUCAGUUUUUAUGAAAUAUAGAAGAAUUGAUUGAGCAAGAGUCAACCUUGACUGAAUAUAUAGGUUAAGUGUAGCGAACCUGGAGAACUGAAACAUCUAAGUAACCAGAGGAAAAGAAAUCAACUGAGAUUCCCAGAGUAGUGGCGAGCGAAAUGGGAAAAGCCUUCAAUAUUUAGCAUUUGAAUUAAUCGAAUUUUCUGGAAAGUUAAGCCAUAGUAGGUGAUAGCCCUGUAGGUGAAAAUUCAAAUGUGGAACUAAGAUUGAGAUAAGUAGAGCGGGACACGUGGAAUCCUGUUUGAAUAUGGGGGGACCAUCCUCCAAGGCUAAAUACUCGUAAUCGACCGAUAGUGAACCAGUACCGUGAGGGAAAGGCGAAAAGAACCCCGGGAGGGGAGUGAAAUAGA